GCAGCUCUAAGACACUGGAGAUCUGCCUCAGGUGAGCCUGCUCUCUACGCAGCAACUGAUCCGUUUCAGGGCCAAGCUUCUCAGGAUCACCUUCAUCUUCUUUAAACUGGCUUUCAUGGUACCAACAUGGGAAUUUCAAGGCUCUCAUGCUUACAUCCUUGGGCCCAGGGAGAAAAUAGCAUCUGUCCUGGUCCUUGUAAGUGAAAGUACUGAGUCCGUUCUAAUGGGACUAACCUGGAGAACGUGCCUGAACUGAUCCUCAUGCUUGGAGAAGACUCAGACCUGAUUCUUGCUCAGUCUUUCUGAAGUUGCUUCAUUUACCAGGUCCCUUGCUAUCUCUUCCCGUGGAUAAACUUGCCAACUCCUCACAUCAGCUAAUGAGAGUGUGCUGUUGUUGUUACUGUUAUAUUCCGUGUAUGGGCCAAGGUCACUCACUUUCUCUAAGCCUCAGUUUCCUUAGCUGCCAAAGAACAGUGAUUCAAUCAGCUCUACAACUUCCCUUCAUUUUAGUAACAAUCAGUGAUUGUGUUUCCUGGGCAUAUACUAACUGCGUGACCUUGUGCAGGUCACUUGACCUCAGUGCCAUGUUCUCCUCAUCCUUGAAAUGGGCACAGCGUUGCCUUCCCUGAAAUAUUGUCUUAAUGAUGGGACAGUAAGUAUGAAAUAUCCUUAGCAGGAUGCCUGGUACAUGCAGAAGCCAAUGUACAUCGCCACAGCGGUUAAUUACAAUUCCAAAUAUAUAUAAAAACACACAGCCAGAAUAAGAGUAUUACCAUCCCUGGACCCAUUGAGCUCUGGUCUACCCAAUACCCCCAAACUCAAUCCAACCUGUGUGGCAAUUACUUUGGAGACAACAGUCAGCUAAGAAGCCAGUUGAUUAAGCCUAGUCUCAAUGCAUGAGUCACGAGUAGCCUUCUACCCUCUCUAGACGCUAUCAAUCCCCUCAGCCCACUCUGGUCUCCUCAUUUCUGGAGGAGAAGCAGAGACUUCGAGUUACAGAAAAGAGCCCUAGGGGGCAAAGGCUGGGGGUGGGCUGAUUCCCUAAUCUCAGAGCUGCUGCCUGAAAGCGACUUUAUGCAUCAUCUCAUCCCACCUCCUCCAUUGUACAGAGGAGGAAGCAGAGUCCCAGAGAGGGAAGUGACUCACUCCAAAUCACACAGCUAAUAUGUGGUGGAAUCUAGACUCAGACUUCGCUAAAAAUAUCAACUGCAGGAAAAUGUCAACUGAGGACAGAGCCAGAAGUGCCAGCGUCCAUUCAGCUGCCUGUCUCUCCUGCCAACAUUGAAGAUGUGAGGAGGUCUCCAUGGCCACAACUAUGCCCUCACAGCAUCAGACCCUUGAAUGUGAUGCUGCAGGUAGGACUCCUGUCACCAGAAGGUGCCUUCAGGUGUGAGGAGAACAGGCAUCCAAGGCUGCCCACUGUGAGUUCACCCCAGAGCCAAUGAGGCAGAGAUGCCCAACAGUCCACAGGGAGGGAGAAGGCUGCCAGUCCCUGCCUGGUGACAGGAACACAUGUGAAGGACACAUUCGUUGAGAGGAAAGGCUGGUCCCAGAGGAACAUGGGAAGGAGGCCACAGAGCUGCAUGGUAUUGCCUGGCAGGUACCACCCAGAUCGAGUGUUCUGACCUCCAGACCCCGGCAGCCCUGGAUCCUGAUUUGGAGGCACACCUGGGCACCCUGUGCUCAACCUCUGCCCACUGGAACCGAGCAUGCAAGUAACAAUGAAAGUAGCUGCUGGGCUGGGCACGGUGACUCACGCUUGUAAUCCCAACACUUUGGGAGGCCGAGACAGGCGGAUCACCUGAAGUCAAGAGCUUGAGACCAUCCUGGUCAACAUGGUGAAACCCCGUCUCUACUAAAAAUACAAAAAUUAGCUGAGCAUGGUGGCACACGUCUGUAGUCCCAGCUACUCAGGAGGCUGAGGCAGGACAAUCGCUUGAACCCAGGAGGUGGACAUUGCAGUGAGCCAAGACAGUGCCACUGCACUCCAGCCUGGUGACAGAGUGCGACUCCGUCUCAAAAAAAAAAAAAAAAAAA
Macaca fascicularis (crab-eating macaque) is the source of this 2037-nucleotide long non-coding RNA. The record is from Ensembl. Lineage: Eukaryota; Metazoa; Chordata; Mammalia; Primates; Cercopithecidae.